Molecule: long non-coding RNA, 875 nt
Organism: Saccostrea echinata
Lineage: Eukaryota; Metazoa; Mollusca; Bivalvia; Ostreida; Ostreidae
Exons: 2
Source: RefSeq, a predicted model, not a curated record
UAAACUUUAAGAUUCUGAGAAUAUGAGAUAUUGUGGUUAAGAUACACAAAGAAAAAAAGGAUUUGGUUUUCCAACUCACUUUGACAUAUCCAUUGUAUUCCAGAUAUGGAUUUUCAGGAUACAAGAGUUCAACUGAAUGGCAUUUUUCAACAUCCAUUAAAAUGUGCUUAUUUCUUUUUUAAAGGAGACUUUGAGGUACAAAAAUGAAAAGAAUUGGACCACCCAAGAAAUGGACAAGACACAGAAUUUAUGAUGUCUUGUUUCAUACAUCAGUUAGAGCAUUACAUGUUUCUUAUGUUUUCAUGACAGGAUAUUUAAUAAUGCGUGUGAUUGGCUAUGUCAGAGUUGAUAAGCCUAAAUUCCUUGAGGAACAUAAAAAGAAAGAAGCUGAAAGAAUGGUAGAGCUACAAGAAAAAGCAGAGCGAGAGAGACUAGGAUUUUAGCAGGAAAGAAAGACAAUGUAGUAGAAUGCUGAACAUUUUGUGAUGAUAUUUGUGUGUUUUGAAUGUGUGUGUUGUAUGUAUGGUUUGUAUUGUAAAUAAUGGUUUACUAGGUUUUACAGAUGUACUAUACAACUUGUUGAAAAACAAUUAUUUUGUAUUUACAGCGUAAUUGUAAAAUUACACACAAACACACCCCUUGAAUUAUAUAUUAUGUGUGUGUGUGUGUGUGUGUGUGUAUAUAUAAGUUAAAUAGAGUUUUAAAUUAUUUAUGCACAUACACUAUAGAUCUUUUUAUUUCAAUAAAAGAUAUCAUCAGUAUUCCUUUACUCAGAAGCAAAUGAUACAUGUAUCAUGAAUGUAAACGUUUUUGUGCAAGUAAGAGGAAAUUCUUCUUUGUGAUUACUGACAACUAAUAAAAGUAUGAAAAUUAAA